AGAGUUUGAUCCUGGCUCAGGAUGAACGCUAGCGGCAGGCCUAACACAUGCAAGUCGAGGGGUAACAGGGAGUGCUUGCACUCUGCUGACGACCGGCGCACGGGUGAGUAACGCGUAUACAAUCUACCUUAUACUGGGGGAUAGCCUUUAGAAAUGAAGAUUAAUACCCCAUAGUAUGUAUUUGUGGCAUCACAGAUAUAUUAAAGGUUACGGUAUAAGAUGAGUAUGCGUCCUAUUAGUUAGUUGGUAAGGUAACGGCUUACCAAGGCUACGAUAGGUAGGGGCCCUGAGAGGGGGAUCCCCCACACUGGUACUGAGACACGGACCAGACUCCUACGGGAGGCAGCAGUGAGGAAUAUUGGACAAUGGGCGAGAGCCUGAUCCAGCCAUGCCGCGUGCAGGAAGACUGCCCUAUGGGUUGUAAACUGCUUUUAUACAGGAAGAAACAUCCCGACGUGUCGGGACUUGACGGUACUGUAAGAAUAAGGACCGGCUAACUCCGUGCCAGCAGCCGCGGUAAUACGGAGGGUCCGAGCGUUAUCCGGAAUUAUUGGGUUUAAAGGGUCCGUAGGCGGGCAGCUAAGUCAGUGGUGAAAGUCUGCAGCUCAACUGUAGAAUUGCCAUUGAUACUGGUUGUCUUGAAUUAUUAUGAAGUGAUUAGAAUAUGUAGUGUAGCGGUGAAAUGCAUAGAUAUUACAU
RNAcentral lists this ribosomal RNA (699 nucleotides) under uncultured bacterium. RNAcentral's name for it is "bacterial SSU rRNA". It matches the Rfam family "Bacterial small subunit ribosomal RNA", at positions 8 to 702 of the family's 1533-position model. The record is from RNAcentral.